Molecule: long non-coding RNA, 1228 nt
Filed under: Dasypus novemcinctus (nine-banded armadillo)
Lineage: Eukaryota; Metazoa; Chordata; Mammalia; Cingulata; Dasypodidae
Description: lncRNA (ENSDNOG00000050986.1)
Source: RNAcentral
CUCCCGGCCCGCGGGCGAGCAGGGGUUAAGGCCGCGGCUCCCAAGUUGCGACAGAGCCACAGCCCGGCCGGCCGCGGUCCCUCCUCUCCUGCGGCUCCCACCGGCCAGGGGCCCGCCUGGCCUCCACGGGGGAGGAGAAGUUGGGGCGCACAGGUGGGCAGUGGCCGGCGGCCAUCCCCCCUGUCCCCCCCGGCGGACCAGGCUGUGGAAGGGAGGGCGAGCACGAGGGGUCAGCGGGUGGCACUUUUCUGGGUCAUUUGGUCCCAAACGUGCAGGACAAAGAGAGCUUCCCGGGGUGCUGAGUGUCCGGUUGCAGCGUCCAGUUUCUGGGGCCCCUUGGGGCCCCCGGCAGGCCCGAGCAUCUGCACCGUGGGUCCCAGGGCCGCCUGGCGGCUUGGGGUCACCCCGGGGAUGCGGGCCUGGGGGACAUGCCUCUGUCUUCGGGCCCCCCACCCUCCCUGGGGUUUGGGCCUCCAGCCCCUGCUCCUCUCUCCCGGCCUCAGCAUUCCGCCCUGUCAAGUGGGGUUCCGCAGAGGGGCUGGGGACAGCGAGUGGGGGAGCGGAUUGUCUUUCGGGGUGGGUGACGGGCGAAGGCCACCUCCUCGACUUUGGAGCUCUGGCCGCCCAUCCCGUGUUCUAGAAGAAGCCAGGCUCAGAGAGGGGAAGGCGCUGGACCGGGGCGGCACAGCAAGUCAGGGGUGCCGGGCGCCCCGGAGGCAAAAGGCAAGAGGGGAGGUGGGGGGUGUGCCCCUCCCCUCCCCCCCGACAACGCCCCCACCCGGCAUCUUGUAAAACUCCUGCCACCCUGCCCCUCCGGCUGCACCCGGGACAGGGCCCCGAGCUUCCGCGAGGCCCGAGCUCGGGGGAAAGUCCACGGGGAGGGGUGGGGGCGCCCCGAGCUCCCGGGCCGGGCACCGAGGGGAGCCGUGUUUGCUCAGGGCGGGGCCUGCCACCCUUUGGAAUGUCCCGAGGUCAGGGGAAGCCGUGGCGGGGAGGAGGGGCCGGCGGGGGGCGAAUCAGCAUUGCUUGAGCGCCUGCUGUGUGCUGGCGCUAUUAGAGUCCUGGGGCGGGGGAGAGGUUGAGCAGUGAACCCCUGAGCAGUGAACUGAGCAGUGAACUGAGCAGUGAACCCCAAAUUCUGGCCCCAGUGGAGCCAAUAUGUGGGGAAGGCCGGUGGCGGUGACUUGUCUGUGCCUCAUCAUCCUGGGUUCGAGGCCCGGAAGUGGAC